This 253-nucleotide ribosomal RNA is filed under the name uncultured bacterium. Its description in RNAcentral is "partial 16S ribosomal RNA". It matches the Rfam family "Bacterial small subunit ribosomal RNA", at positions 524 to 776 of the family's 1533-position model. The record is from RNAcentral.
UACGAAGGGGGCUAGCGUUGUUCGGAUUUACUGGGCGUAAAGCGCAUGUAGGCGGGCUGUUAAGUUAGGGGUGAAAUCCCGAGGCUCAACCUCGGAACUGCCUCUAAAACUGGCAGCCUGGAGCAGAUGAGAGGCGAGUGGAAUUCCGAGUGUAGAGGUGAAAUUCGUAGAUAUUCGGAGGAACACCAGUGGCGAAGGCGACUCGCUGGCAUCUUGCUGACGCUGAGAUGCGAAAGCGUGGGGAGCAAACAGG